Molecule: long non-coding RNA, 583 nt
Filed under: Nicotiana tabacum (common tobacco)
Lineage: Eukaryota; Viridiplantae; Streptophyta; Magnoliopsida; Solanales; Solanaceae
Description: long non-coding RNA (NTAB_LNC012330)
Source: RNAcentral
GUGACGGUGACUAUGGUUCCUUAGGUAAUAUUUGAUGGCCCAAAUAAAUUUUAGGCGAUCGGGGUCCGGACCCACACGGAAGGAGUGGGCUAUUAUAGCACACGAAAAUAUGGGAAUCAGGCGAAAUUCUAGUUUUUGUCCGUAAAACGCAAAACAACGAGGAAUGGCCAUGGCGGGGCGAUGACUAUGGUUUCUUAGGUCGUAUUUGAUGGCCCGAAAUAAUUUUAGGAGAUUGGGGUCCGGGGGCUCGGACCCCUUCGGAAGGUGUGGGCUAUAACACACAAAAAUAUGGGAAUCAGGCGGAAUUCUAGGUUUUUGGCCGUAAAACGCAAAACAACGAGGAAUGGCCAUGGCGGGGCGGUGACUAUGGUUCCUUAGGUCGUAAUUGAUGGCUCGGUAAAAUUUUAGGCAAUUCGAUUUCGGGGGACCCUGGCCCACUCGAGGCUAGAGCACACGAAAAUAUGGGAAUCGGGAGCAAUUCUAGUUUUUUGUUGGUAAAAAGCAAAACAACGAGGAACGGUCAUGGCGGGGCUGUAACUAUGGUUUCUUAGGUCGUAUUUGAUGGCCCGUAAUAAUUUUAGGC